This 1367-nucleotide ribosomal RNA is filed under the name metagenome. RNAcentral describes it as "bacterial LSU rRNA". It matches the Rfam family "Bacterial large subunit ribosomal RNA", at positions 1566 to 2925 of the family's 2925-position model. The record is from RNAcentral.
UUAACGAGGCUGCUUGCAGCCGAAGUGAGUGAUACCCUGCUUCCAGGAAAAGCCACUAAGCUUCAGCUACACACGACCGUACCGCAAACCGACACUGGUGCGCGAGAUGAGUAUUCUAAGGCGCUUGAGAGAACUCUGGAGAAGGAACUCGGCAAAUUGAUACCGUAACUUCGGGAGAAGGUAUGCCCCAAGUAGGUGAACCUGUACAAGGCGAGCCCAAAGGGGUUGCAAAAAAUCGGUGGCUGCGACUGUUUAAUAAAAACACAGCACUCUGCAAACACGAGAGUGGACGUAUAGGGUGUGACGCCUGCCCGGUGCUGGAAGAUUAAAUGAUGGGGUGAGAGCUCUUGAUUGAAGUCCCAGUAAACGGCGGCCGUAACAAUAACGGUCCUAAGGUAGCGAAAUUCCUUGUCGGGUAAGUUCCGACCUGCACGAAUGGCGUAACGAUGGCCACACUGUCUCCUCCAGAGACUCAGCGAAGUUGAAAUGUUUGUGAUGAUGCAAUCUCCCCGCGGAAAGACGGAAAGACCCCAUGAACCUUUACUGUAGCUUUGUAUUGGAUUUUGAACGGAUCUGUGUAGGAUAGGUGGGAGGCUUUGAAGUGUGGUCGCUAGAUCGCAUGGAGCCAACGUUGAAAUACCACCCUGGUGCGUUUGAGGUUCUAACCCAGGUCCCUUAUCGGGAUCGGGGACAGUGCAUGGUAGGCAGUUUGACUGGGGCGGUCUCCUCCCAAAGCGUAACGGAGGAGUUCGAAGGUACGCUAGUUACGGUCGGACAUCGUGACGAUAGUGCAAUGGCAUAAGCGUGCUUAACUGCAAGACUGACAAGUCGAGCAGAUGCGAAAGCAGGACAUAGUGAUCCGGUGGUUCUGUAUGGAAGGGCCAUCGCUCAACGGAUAAAAGGUACUCUGGAUAACAGGCUGAUACCGCCCAAGAGUUCAUAUCGACGGCGGUGUUUGGCACCUCGAUGUCGGCUCAUCUCAUCCUGGGGCUGUAGCCGGUCCCAAGGGUAUGGCUGUUCGCCAUUUAAAGAGGUACGUGAGCUGGGUUUAAAACGUCGUGAGACAGUUUGGUCCCUAUCUUCCGUGGGCGCUGCAGAUUUGAGAAAGCCUGCUCCUAGUACGAGAGGACCGGAGUGGACACACCUCUGGUGUAUCGGUUGUCACGCCAGUGGCAUUGCCGAGUAGCUAAGUGUGGAAGAGAUAACCGCUGAAAGCAUCUAAGCGGGAAACUCGUUUCAAGAUGAGAUCUGCCGGGGCCUUUGAGCCCCCUGAAGAGUCGUUCAAGACCAGGACGUUGAUAGGCUGGGUGUGGAAGUGCAGCAAUGCAUUAAGCUAACCAGUACUAAUUGCUCGUGCGGCUUGACUC